This 373-nucleotide unclassified non-coding RNA is filed under the name soil metagenome. Its description in RNAcentral is "partial contains 5.8S ribosomal RNA, internal transcribed spacer 2, and large subunit ribosomal RNA". The stretch from base 1 to 121 matches the Rfam family "5.8S ribosomal RNA", at positions 35 to 154 of the family's 154-position model. The record is from RNAcentral.
GAUGAAGAACUUAGCGAAAUGCGAUAAGUAAUGCGAAUUGCAGAAUUCCAGUGAGUCAUCGAAUCUUUGAACGCACAUUGCGCCCUUUGGUAUUCCGAAGGGCAUGCCUGUUCGAGCGUCAUUAUCACCCCUCAAGCCCUCGGCUUGGUGUUGGACGGUUUGGUGGAGGCCCCCUCGGGGGCUCCUGCCCCUCCCAAAGACAAUGACGGCGGCCUCGUUGGACCCCCGGUACACUGAGUUCUUCACGGGACACGUAUCGGACACAUGGGUUUACGGGACACGGUCUGCCUCCCCUCAGGGAGAAUCUUUCUAAGGUUGACCUCGGAUCAGGUAGGGAUACCCGCUGAACUUAAGCAUAUCAAUAAGCGGAGGA